Molecule: ribosomal RNA, 498 nt
Filed under: uncultured bacterium
Lineage: Bacteria
Description: partial 16S ribosomal RNA
Rfam family: Bacterial small subunit ribosomal RNA
Source: RNAcentral
AUUGAACGCUGGCGGAAUGCUUUACACAUGCAAGUCGAACGGCAGCACGGGGCAACCUGGUGGCGAGUGGCGAACGGGUGAGUAAUACAUCGGAACGUGCCCAAUCGUGGGGGAUAACGUAGCGAAAGUUACGCUAAUACCGCAUACGAUCUACGGAUGAAAGCGGGGGAUCGCAAGAACUCGCGCGAAUGGAGCAGCCGAUGUCAGAUUAGGUAGUUGGUGGGGUAAAGGCGCACCAAGCCGACGAUCUGUAACUGGUUUGAGAGGACGACCAGCCACACGUGAACUGGGACACGGCCCAGACUCCUACGGGAGGCAGCAGGGGGGUAUUGUGGACAAUGGGCGCAAGCCUGAUCCAGCCAUUCCGCGUGCAGGAUGAAGGCCUUCGGGUUGUAAACUGCUUUUGUACGGAACGAAACGGUGAGCUCUAAUACAGUUUGCUAAUGACGGUACCGUAAGAAUAAGCACCGGCUAACUACGUGCCAGCCGCCGCCGUAA